Molecule: non-coding RNA, 21 nt
Filed under: Caenorhabditis elegans
Lineage: Eukaryota; Metazoa; Nematoda; Chromadorea; Rhabditida; Rhabditidae
Source: RNAcentral
UGUAGUUAUCAAUGUUUUUCA